UAGUAACGGCGAGUGAACCGGGAAGAGCUCAAAUUUGAAAUCUGGCGUGCUCAGUGCGUCCGAGUUGUAAUCUAUAGAGUCGUUUUCCGUGCCGGACUGUGUCCAAGUCCCUUGGAACAGGGUAUCAAAGAGGGUGAUAAUCCCGUACUUGACACAAUGACCGGUGCUCUGUGAUACGUCUUCUACGAGUCGAGUUGUUUGGGAAUGCAGCUCAAAAUGGGUGGUGAGUUCCAUCUAAAGCUAAAUAUUGGCGAGAGACCGAUAGCGAACAAGUACCGUGAGGGAAAGAUGAAAAGCACUUUGGAAAGAGAGUUAAACAGUACGUGAAAUUGUUAAAAGGGAAACGAUUGAAGUCAGUCGUGACUGAGAGGCUCAGCCGGUUCUGCCGGUGUAUUCCCCUCAGUCGGGUCAACAUCAGUUUUGUUCGGUGGAUAAGGGCAGUUGGAAGGUGGCACCCUCGGGUGUGUUAUAGCCAGCUGUCGCAUACAUCGGAUGAGACUGAGGAAUGCAGCUCGCCUUUAUGGCCGGGGUUCGCCCACGUUCGAGCUUAGGAUGUUGACAUUA
This 564-nucleotide ribosomal RNA is filed under the name Papiliotrema flavescens. RNAcentral describes it as "eukaryotic LSU rRNA". It matches the Rfam family "Eukaryotic large subunit ribosomal RNA", at positions 81 to 634 of the family's 3401-position model. Lineage: Eukaryota; Fungi; Basidiomycota; Tremellomycetes; Tremellales; Rhynchogastremaceae. The record is from RNAcentral.